CUGAAUAUAAAUGGGGUUCGCUCGGAAAAUCCUCGCGGGCAAAUCCGCGGGUAACAGCUAGUUGAUGUAUAGACUAUAGAAAAAAGUGAUUACUUUGCAUUCGCAAUGAAUAUGAGUUGUGAAGAGGAAUACUUCUAUAAUUUCAAACAAAAGUCGGAAAUUUUUUAUAAGGUUCUGAAAUUUAGAUGUGAAAUGCCAACAUUUCCAGUUCCUCUUGCAUUUUUAAAAUCACGUAUUAAAGGAGGUAAACAAUUUCAGAUUUUCCAAGUGAAGGCAAAGGUAUUUUCUUUAUUUUUUCAUUUAACAGAUAUGUUUUUAGUUUCUUUUACAUAAACUUUAUCAGACGGCAUUCAAACAACAGGAGAAUAAAAACUAUUUUAAAUCCUUUCUUUCUCUCUGUCUACACGAAACCUCUUACAUACGACUGUAAUGGGAAGCCCCAAUCCCGAGAUAUCUCGGGAAAGUUACAUAGCGUUACAUAAAACGCGGUCCUUAGUUUUAAUUUUUGGAAUGUUU
Molecule: unclassified non-coding RNA, 516 nt
Filed under: Centruroides sculpturatus (bark scorpion)
Lineage: Eukaryota; Metazoa; Arthropoda; Arachnida; Scorpiones; Buthidae
Description: uncharacterized LOC111615006, transcript variant X1
Source: RNAcentral